UACGAAGGGGGCAAGCGUUGUUCGGAAUUACUGGGCGUAAAGGGCUCGUAGGCGGCCAACUAAGUCAGACGUGAAAUCCCUCGGCUUAACCGGGGAACUGCGUCUGAUACUGGAUGGCUUGAGAUUGGGAGAGGGAUGCGGAAUUCCAGGUGUAGCGGUGAAAUGCGUAGAUAUCUGGAGGAACACCGGUGGCGAAGGCGGCAUCCUGGACCAACACUGACGCUGAGGAGCGAAAGCCAGGGGAGCAAACGGG
RNAcentral lists this ribosomal RNA (253 nucleotides) under uncultured bacterium. Its description in RNAcentral is "partial 16S ribosomal RNA". It matches the Rfam family "Bacterial small subunit ribosomal RNA", at positions 524 to 776 of the family's 1533-position model. The record is from RNAcentral.